GCAGCCUGCAACUCGGCUGCAUGAAGCCGGAAUCGCUAGUAAUCGCGGAUCAGAACGCCGCGGUGAAUACGUUCCCGGGUCUUGUACACACCGCCCGUCACACCAUGGGAGUCGGGAACGCCCGAAGUCGGUGCCCCAACCGCAAGGAGGGAGCCGCCGAAGGCAGGCCCGGCGACUGGGGUGAAGUCGUAACAAGGUACC
Molecule: ribosomal RNA, 201 nt
Filed under: uncultured bacterium
Lineage: Bacteria
Description: partial 16S ribosomal RNA
Rfam family: Bacterial small subunit ribosomal RNA
Source: RNAcentral